This 448-nucleotide ribosomal RNA is filed under the name uncultured bacterium. RNAcentral's name for it is "bacterial SSU rRNA". It matches the Rfam family "Bacterial small subunit ribosomal RNA", at positions 21 to 481 of the family's 1533-position model. The record is from RNAcentral.
UGCUCAGAACGAACGCUGAUGGCGUGCCUCAUACAUGCAAGUCGAGCGCACCGCAAGGUGAGCGGCGAACGGGUGAGUAACGCGUGAACAAUCUGCCUCAAAGUGGGGGAUAACCAUUCCAACGGAUGGCUAAUACCGCAUAGGGUUCGGGAGCGGCAUGGCUUCCCUACGAAAGCAUUUAUGCGCUUUGAGAUGAGUUCGCGUCCCAUUAGCUAGUUGGCGGGGUAACGGCCCACCAAGGCAACGAUGGGUAGCCGGCCUGAGAGGGUGUCCGGCCACAUUGGGACUGAGAUACGGCCCAGACUCCUACGGGAGGCAGCAGUAGGGAAUUUUGCGCAAUGGGGGAAACCCUGACGCAGCAACGCCAUGUGUGGGAUGAAGCAUUUCGGUGUGUAAACCACUGUCGGCAGGGAAUAAAGGCCCACAUUUAUGUGGGGGUAAUGACCUC